Molecule: non-coding RNA, 333 nt
Organism: Lepidothrix coronata (blue-crowned manakin)
Lineage: Eukaryota; Metazoa; Chordata; Aves; Passeriformes; Pipridae
Source: the annotation of a RefSeq genome assembly
GUUCUCUUGUCCAGGCAGCGCUGACUCAGCCGCCCUCAUUGUCUCACAGGGUGGGAGACACCGUCAAGAUCACCUGCUCUGGGAGCAGCUACAACUUGUAUGGCUGGUACCAGCAGAAGGUCCCUGGCAGUGCCCUUGUCCCUGUGAUCUAUGUUAAUAGCAACAGACCCUCAAACAUCCCUUCACGAUUCUCUGGAUCCUUGUUGGGCUCCACGGCCACAUUAACCAUCACUGGGGUCCAAGACGAGGACGAGGGUGUCUAUUUCUGUGGUGCCUGGGAGAGCAGCAGUGGUGGUUAUACAUUCGGGUCCGGGACCCAUUUGACCGUCAAAG